AGAUGGCGACCGGCGCACGGGUGAGUAACACGUAUCCAACCUGCCGAUAACUCGGGGAUAGCCUUUCGAAAGAAAGAUUAAUACCCGAUGGUAUACUCAGACCGCAUGGUUUGAUUAUUAAAGAAUUUCGGUUAUCGAUGGGGAUGCGUUCCAUUAGGCAGUUGGUGAGGUAACGGCUCACCAAACCUUCGAUGGAUAGGGGUUCUGAGAGGAAGGUCCCCCACAUUGGAACUGAGACACGGUCCAA
RNAcentral lists this ribosomal RNA (247 nucleotides) under uncultured bacterium. RNAcentral's name for it is "partial 16S ribosomal RNA". It matches the Rfam family "Bacterial small subunit ribosomal RNA", at positions 86 to 334 of the family's 1533-position model. The record is from RNAcentral.